GAUGAACGCUGGCGGCGUGCCUAAUACAUGCAAGUCGAACGCUUCACUUCGGUGAAGAGUGGCGAACGGGUGAGUAAUACAUAAGUAACCUGGCAUCUACAGGGGGAUAACUGAUGGAAACGUCAGCUAAGACCGCAUAGGUGUAGAGAUCGCAUGAACUCUAUAUGAAAAGUGCUACGGGACUGGUAGAUGAUGGACUUAUGGCGCAUUAGCUUGUUGGUAGGGUAACGGCCUACCAAGGCGACGAUGCGUAGCCGACCUGAGGGGGUGACCGGCCACACUGGGACUGAGACACGGCCCAGACUCCUACGGGAGGCAGCAGUAGGGAAUUUUCGGCAAUGGGGGAAACCCUGACCGAGCAACGCCGCGUGAAGGAAGAAGUAAUUCGUUAUGUAAACUUCUGUCAUAGAGGAAGAACGGUGGAUAUAGGGAAUGAUAUCCAAGUGACGGUACUCUAUAAGAAAGCCACGGCU
Molecule: ribosomal RNA, 473 nt
Filed under: uncultured bacterium
Lineage: Bacteria
Description: bacterial SSU rRNA
Rfam family: Bacterial small subunit ribosomal RNA
Source: RNAcentral